GCUAAAUCCCCAGCCCUGAACGCACCCAAUCUCAUCUGAUUUUGGAAGCUAAGCAGGGUCGGGCCUGGUUAGUACUUGGAUGGAAGACGGCACUGCUUUUCUUGAGGAAGGCAGAGGAACCCCUAAGCCAGCA
This 133-nucleotide ribosomal RNA is filed under the name Fukomys damarensis (Damara mole-rat). The record is from RNAcentral. Lineage: Eukaryota; Metazoa; Chordata; Mammalia; Rodentia; Bathyergidae.